Fukomys damarensis (Damara mole-rat) is the source of this 310-nucleotide unclassified non-coding RNA. Its record names the gene 7SK. It matches the Rfam family "7SK RNA". From Rfam's summary of the family: 7SK was discovered as an abundant small nuclear RNA in the mid-70s but a possible function has only recently been suggested. Two independent studies have found that 7SK RNA binds the CDK9/cyclin T complex (known as elongation factor P-TEFb). Lineage: Eukaryota; Metazoa; Chordata; Mammalia; Rodentia; Bathyergidae. The record is from Ensembl.
GGGUGAUCUGGUUGCAACAUGUAACCUGAUUGAUCACCAAGGUUGAUUUGCCUGAUCUGGCUGGCUAGGUGGGUGUGCCCUUCCUCCCUUGCGUGUCCCUCCCAAAGCUGCACAUUCGGUGGAAGAAGACCAUCCCCAGUAGAGGAGGACUAUUUCCUUGGUCAAAGGUGUAUGAAGUGUUUCAUUCCCCUGCUAAUACAUCCAAACAAGCUCUUAAGGAAUGGAAUACUAACAUUGCUGUACCAUGGAUGAACCUCGAAAAUGUUAUGCUCCAUAAAAGAAGCCAGUCUCAAAAGGUGACAUGCUGUUU